GGACUACUGGGGUUUCUAAUCCCUUUCGCUCCCCUAGCUUUCGUCCCUGAGUGUCAGAUACAGCCCAGUAGCACGCUUUCGCCACCGAUGUUCUUCCCAAUCUCUACGCAUUUCACCGCUACACUGGGAAUUCCUGCUACCCCUACUGCUCUCUAGUCUGCCAGUUUCCACCGCCUUUAGGUCGUUAAGCAACCUGAUUUGACGGCAGACUUGGCUGACCACCUGCGGACGCUUUACGCCCAAUAAUUCCGGAUAACGCUUGCCUCCCCCGUAUUACCGCGGCUGCUGGCAC
This 292-nucleotide unclassified non-coding RNA is filed under the name uncultured cyanobacterium. RNAcentral's name for it is "contains 16S-23S intergenic spacer region". The record is from RNAcentral. Lineage: Bacteria; Bacillati; Cyanobacteriota.